This 67-nucleotide transfer RNA is filed under the name Hesperoyucca whipplei. Its description in RNAcentral is "partial tRNA-Ser". RNAcentral also lists the same sequence under 1 other name. Lineage: Eukaryota; Viridiplantae; Streptophyta; Magnoliopsida; Asparagales; Asparagaceae. The record is from RNAcentral.
CCCUCGAUAGUUAUUGUAACUAUACCGGUUUUCAAGACCGGAGCUAUCAACCACUCAGCCACCUCUC